AGUUAAGUGAAUAAGGGCGCACGGUGGAUGCCUUGGCACUAGGAGCCGAUGAAGGACGGGACUAACACCGAUAUGCCUCGGUCAGCCGUAAGUAGGCUAUGACCCGGGGAUUUCCGAAUGGGGGAACCCACCGCCCGUAAUGGGGCGGUCUUCCUAGCUGAAUACAUAGGCUAGGAAAGGCACACCCGGGGAACUGAAACAUCUCAGUACCCGGAGGAAUAGAAAGCAAACGCGAUUUCCUGAGUAGCGGCGAGCGAAACGGAAUCAGCCCAAACCAGAACGCUUGCGUUCUGGGGUUGUAGGACACUCCAUUGGAGUUACCAAGAGACAGGAUAGAGGAAUCGGUCUGGAAUGAUCAGCCAAAGAAGGUAAGAGCCCUGUAGUCAAAAUCCUGUUUCCUCCGGAGUGGAUCCUGAGUACGGCGGAACACGAGAAAUUCCGUCGGAAUCCGGGAGGACCAUCUCCCAAGGCUAAAUACUCCCUAGUGACCGAUAGUGAACCAGUACCGUGAGGGAAAGGUGAAAAGCACCCCGGAAGGGGAGUGAAAUAGAACCUGAAACCGUGUGCCUACAAGUAGUCAGAGCCCGUUAAUGGGUGAUGGCGUACCUUUUGUAGAAUGGACCGGCGAGUUACGAUCCCAUGCAAGGUUAAGUUGAAGAAACGGAGCCGCAGCGAAAGCGAGUCUGAAUAGGGCGAAAUAGUAUGUGGUCGUAGACCCGAAACCGUGUGAUCUACCCAUGUCCAGGGUGAAGGCCAGGUAACACUGGCUGGAGGCCCGAACCCACGUACGUUGAAAAGUACGGGGAUGAGGUGUGGGUAGGGGUGAAAUGCCAAUCGAACACGGAGAUAGCUGGUUCUCUCCGAAAUAGCUUUAGGGCUAGCCUCAAGGUAAGAGUCAUGGAGGUAGAGCACUGAUUGGACUAGGGGCCCUCAUCGGGUUACCGAAUUCAGUCAAACUCCGAAUGCCAUCGACUUAUCCUUGGGAGUCAGACUAUGAGUGAUAAGGUCCAUAGUCGAAAGGGAAACAGCCCAGACCGCCAGCUAAGGCCCCUAAGUGUACGUUAAGUGGAAAAGGAUGUGGAGUUGCUUAGACAACCAGGAUGUUGGCUUAGAAGCAGCCAUCAUUUAAAGAGUGCGUAAUAGCUCACUGGUCGAGUGACUCUGCGCCGAAAAUAUACCGGGGCUAAACGUACCGCCGAAGCUGCGGAUUGUCCUUCGGACAAUGGUAGGAGAGCGUUCUAAGCGCUGUGAAGUCAGACCGUGAGGACUGGUGGAGCGCUUAGAAGUGAGAAUGCCGGUAUGAGUAGCGAAAGAAGAGUGAGAAUCUCUUCCACCGUAAGUCUAAGGUUUCCUGAGGAAGGCUCGUCCGCUCAGGGUUAGUCGGGACCUAAGCCGAGGCCGAAAGGCGUAGGCGAUGGAUAACAGGUUGACAUUCCUGUACCACCUCCUUUCCGUUUGAGUGACGGGGGGACGCAGUAGGAUAAGGGAAGCGCGUCAUUGGAAGAGCGCGCCCAAGCAGUGAGUGUGAUGCAUAGGCAAAUCCGUGCAUCAAACACAAGCUGUGAUGGGGAGGGAACUAUAGUACCGAAGUCCCCGAUUUCACACUGCCUAGAAAAGCCUCUAGCGAGGAAAGUGGUGCCCGUACCGCAAACCGACACAGGUAGACGAGGAGAGUAUCCUAAGGUGAUCGGGAGAACUCUUGUUAAGGAACUCGGCAAAAUGACCCCGUAACUUCGGGAGAAGGGGUGCUUCUUCAUAAGAAGAAGCCGCAGUGAAAAGGCCCAAACGACUGUUUAGCAAAAACACAGGUCUCUGCGAAACCGAAAGGUGAAGUAUAGGGGCUGACACCUGCCCGGUGCUGGAAGGUUAAGAGGAUGAGUUAGCCGCAAGGCGAAGCUCUGAAUCGAAGCCCCAGUAAACGGCGGCCGUAACUAUAACGGUCCUAAGGUAGCGAAAUUCCUUGUCGGGUAAGUUCCGACCCGCACGAAAGGUGCAACGAUUUGGGCACUGUCUCAACAAGAGACCCGGUGAAAUUAUACUAUGCGUGAAGAUGCGCAUUACCCGCGACAGGACGGAAAGACCCCGUGGAGCUUUACUGUAGCCUGAUAUUGAAUGUUGGUACAGUUUGUACAGGAUAGGUGGGAGCCUUGGAAACCGGAGCGCCAGCUUCGGUGGAGGCAUUGGUGGGAUACCACCCUGACUGUACUGACAUUCUAACCCAGGGCCGUGAUCCGGCCCGGAGACAGUGUCAGGUGGGCAGUUUGACUGGGGCGGUCGCCUCCCAAAAGG
This 2289-nucleotide non-coding RNA is filed under the name Pontibacillus yanchengensis Y32. RNAcentral describes it as "Bacterial large subunit ribosomal RNA". It matches the Rfam family "Bacterial large subunit ribosomal RNA", at positions 1 to 2297 of the family's 2925-position model. The record is from Rfam by way of RNAcentral. Lineage: Bacteria; Bacillati; Bacillota; Bacilli; Caryophanales; Bacillaceae.